AUUCCACCCAAAUGGAGAGGAGGGGCUGCUUCUGGUUUGAACUAGUUCUUGAGGCAGCGGAGCCUGGUACCAACAUCCCUGGACCAGAGAUGUGGAUAUUAGGAUUUUUGUCCUUGCUCUAUUACGAUGGGGCUUCCUGGCUCAUUGUAAAUGGAGACUAAAUGAAUCAGCCCCCGAAUUCCAUGCCAGACAGUUCAGCUGACAGAAGGAACUGAAUGUGACCUAGUCUGCUUGCUAUUUCUAGGGAAAUGGAGUCAGAAUUUUUAGAGUACAGAGAAGAGAACUUUCGCCUGUUAAAGUAUUUUGCACGGGAGUGAAACCCUUCAUUGUGUGACUAAAUCAAUGGAGAUUAUCUUCUCAGUUGGAAUUUCCUUUUGUCUGCACGUGUAUUCUGCCAACAUCUGCUCCUACGUUCACUUCAGUCGAUGAGUUCUCAAGUGAAGGACUUGAUUCAAGUCUCCAAAAACGUGAUCUUCCCUCAUGAUGCCAAUUAUGCAGAAACAAUGGACUUCUGCUCAAUAGUUAACUAUUCACCAUGUUUGAAAGAAAAAAUCCUGGAAUGUUUACUUCAAAUAUGAAAGUGUCAGCUCAAAGGAAAACUUUUAAUAAUUCUCUGGAGUAGGGGAAGAGUUCUAGAGGAAGCCUUCUUGCAACUUUAACCAAAAUGCUAUGGAUUGUGUAUAUGAUAAGAGCAGAAAGUGUUGAUCCCAGGAGAAUACACAUAAACAGAGGAGGUAAUUAGAUUAAUCAUUUUGACACCUGAAAGGAUGACAAGAAACUUUUAACCUACUGAUAAUCAGCGGAGGGUGCUGUCAUUAUAGAUGGCUCAGCCAGACUAUGGGGUAUCACAUUAGCUAACUGCCUGGCCAAUUAGAGGCAUGUAAUUCUUUCAUAUACUUAGCAUAGAAGUGAAGAUGAUUUAAAACAGUUUCAUUGUCUCUGACACAUAUCCAAAUUUUUGAUAACAGCUAAGCCCUUUACUAAGUAAUUGAAUAAAAUAAUGC
Capra hircus (goat) is the source of this 1004-nucleotide long non-coding RNA. The record is from Ensembl. NCBI's taxonomy places the organism in Eukaryota, Metazoa, Chordata, Mammalia, Artiodactyla, Bovidae.